CAUUCCACCAGCAGCUCCAACAAGUUACAACACCCCGAUUACCUGCGAGACUCGUGCCGUGGGCCGACGACGCGCAAUUGUUUUCUUUCAGCAGCGCAGGAAACAUCCCCUGGCCUCCGGUGAAGAGUCCUGACUCAUUCAUUGUCGUUUUCAAAGACUAUAAUUAUACCGGUAACACUGUCACAUAAGUUACUUUCUCGCUGAUACCUGCCGCUGCUGUUGAAAUUUGCCUUGAUUGGCAAUUUGCUUUCCGGGUCAGGAUAUCUUCCUGAGUGAGUCGUGCAGUGAGACUCCCAUUCCGAAUAUCGCCAGACCAGGUCAGAACCCAUACUUACUGAGUGUGUGUAGAGCCAGUUGUUGAAGUGUGGAGGCCUCGAUCGGGAGUUCCCCAUACAUGCGAGAGAAGUGAUUUUAGAAUCUAUCUGCCGAGGAGAGCGAGCGGAUUACAAUGAUACGUGCAAAUCGAGCUGCAGUGUUGCUCAUUGCUGCUGCGUGCGCCAGUAGUAUCGUUAGCGUAUCCGCUAGUAUACCAUGUGGCCAAUACGCGAAGAUAUGUCCACCGAAAGGCUUUCCGGAUGAGACUGAUUGCUGCUAUCGCAACGGCUAUUGGCAGUGCUGUGAUCCUCGAUUCCCGGCCUGAAAAAUUGCCCUCAUCGCCAGCUCGGGCUUGCUUGGCAUCAUCGGCGCUGGUGGUGUCAUACUGUGUUUCUGCUGCCCCUCUUGUCCGGUGUACAAGAGGAGAGAGAAGGGAAAGGCACUCCUCAGUGUGACGCCAACAAAGUCGUACCAAUCUUUGCGCACUGCUACUACGUGAGCUUCUAGUGACACGUUCAUCCUGAGUGGUUCGAUAUGCUCCCAGGACAUGGACAACUGACUUGGUGUUGUCUUGAAGCGACACACUUCCGACUUGAUGGCACUAGCCCGCAGGCUUGGAUUUCUUGACUGACUUGACUAAAGAACAAUGUUGAGACAAAUAUGACUUCCCAGUUUUCUCGCAUGGCCCAUUGGAUUUUCGGGACUCAUAUAGAAGUAGUUUUAUAUACUGCCUCAAUGCCUUGUAUUUCUGUUCUGCAUUGCUAUACCAUUAGCCGGGACUGUGCCAUGGCAGCUACUGGAGCAAGAUAAUAAAUUUUUAUUAAAAUUGACUUUCAUGUGCCUCUGAGUCUGGCAAACUUUUCUAAUUGUCCGCAUACUCCAACGCAGCCACUUACUUACACAUAAUUAUACAUGUAGUCUUACUGGUGUAUGUUCACAGAAGAGGCUAGAAGUACACUUUCCCAAUGACUUUCAAACAUGUUUUAUGUGCCAUCA
Molecule: long non-coding RNA, 1311 nt
Organism: Sycon ciliatum
Lineage: Eukaryota; Metazoa; Porifera; Calcarea; Leucosolenida; Sycettidae
Exons: 4
Source: RefSeq, a predicted model, not a curated record